UACAGAGGGUGCGAGCGUUGUCCGGAAUUACUGGGCGUAAAGGGCGCGUAGGUGGCGCGACAAGUCAGUGGUGAAAGUUCGACGCUUAACGUCGAAUCGGCCACUGAUACUGUUGGGCUUGAGCACUGUAGAGGCUAAUGGAAUUCCGGGUGUAGCGGUGGAAUGCGUAGAGAUCCGGAAGAACACCGGUGGCGAAGGCGGUUAGCUGGGCAGUUGCUGACACUGAGGCGCGACAGCGUGGGGAGCAAACAGG
This 253-nucleotide ribosomal RNA is filed under the name uncultured bacterium. Its description in RNAcentral is "partial 16S ribosomal RNA". It matches the Rfam family "Bacterial small subunit ribosomal RNA", at positions 524 to 776 of the family's 1533-position model. The record is from RNAcentral.